AACGAACGCUGGCGGCAUGCCUAACACAUGCAAGUCGAACGAGACCUUCGGGUCUAGUGGCGCACGGGUGCGUAACGCGUGGGAACCUGCCCUUAGGUUCGGAAUAACUCCCCGAAAGGGGUGCUAAUACCGGAUAAUGUCUUCGGACCAAAGAUUUAUCGCCUUUGGAUGGGCCCGCGUUGGAUUAGCUAGUUGGUAGGGUAAAAGCCUACCAAGGCGACGAACCAUAGCUGGUCUGAGAGGAUGAUCAGCCACACUGGGACUGAGACACGGCCCAGACUCCUACGGGAGGCAGCAGUGGGGAAUAUUGGACAAUGGGCGAAAGCCUGAUCCAGCAAUGCCGCGUGAGUGAUGAAGGCCUUAGGGUUGUAAAGCUCUUUUACCCGGGAUGAUAAUGACAGUACCGGGAGAAUAAGCUCCGGCUAACUACGUG
Molecule: ribosomal RNA, 433 nt
Filed under: uncultured bacterium
Lineage: Bacteria
Description: partial 16S ribosomal RNA
Rfam family: Bacterial small subunit ribosomal RNA
Source: RNAcentral